UGGGGAAUUUUGGACAAUGGGCGAAAGCCUGAUCCAGCAAUGCCGCGUGUGUGAAGAAGGCCUUCGGGUUGUAAAGCACUUUUGUCCGGAAAGAAAUCCUUGGCUCUAAUACAGUCGGGGGAUGACGGUACCGGAAGAAUAAGCACCGGCUAACUACGUGCCAGCAGCCGCGGUAAUACGUAGGGUGCAAGCGUUAAUCGGAAUUACUGGGCGUAAAGCGUGCGCAGGCGGUUUGCUAAGACCGAUGUGAAAUCCCCGGGCUCAACCUGGGAACUGCAUUGGUGACUGGCAGGCUAGAGUAUGGCAGAGGGGGGUAGAAUUCCACGUGUAGCAGUGAAAUGCGUAGAGAUGUGGAGGAAUACCGAGC
RNAcentral lists this ribosomal RNA (367 nucleotides) under uncultured bacterium. RNAcentral's name for it is "partial 16S ribosomal RNA". It matches the Rfam family "Bacterial small subunit ribosomal RNA", at positions 355 to 714 of the family's 1533-position model. The record is from RNAcentral.